Molecule: transfer RNA, 55 nt
Filed under: Contracaecum ogmorhini sensu lato Australia
Lineage: Eukaryota; Metazoa; Nematoda; Chromadorea; Rhabditida; Anisakidae
Description: tRNA-Leu
Source: RNAcentral
GUACAUAUAGUAUAAUAAAUAUGCCCGGUUUAGGACUGGGAGAUCUUUGUGUAUU